CUAGCUAACUGAAAUCUUAAAUUUGAUUUAAGAUAAGGUAAGGGUAAAUAAUGAUAUAACCUUACUAUUAGUGUCGUCUAAAUUUGGUGCCAGAAGACUCGGUAAGACCUUAGACGCAAACGUUAAUCGUCAUAAUCAGGCGUAAAGGGUGUGUAGGCGGCUUUAAAACAAUAUAAAAAAAAUAUAGCUAAAGAUUUAUAUGGUAAUUAAGGCUAGAAUCUAAAAGAGGAUAACUAAACAACAUAAUUAAUUGGGACUGACAACUUAUAAUAAUGUGGAGUACUAAAGGUUAAAGCUAUUUAUCUACUUAAGAUUGACGCUCAGAAACGAAGGGGAGAAUAAGAAACUUAGAUUAGAUACCUAAUUAUCUCUCUCAGUCAACGAUGAAUGGUAGUUAUUAAAAUAUCUUUAUAUUUAUAUAUUAGUAACGAGGUUAACACGAUGACCAUUCCGCCUUGUUAGUAAGACUGCAAAGUUGAAAACAAAAAAUUA
RNAcentral lists this ribosomal RNA (492 nucleotides) under Xerocomus amazonicus. Its description in RNAcentral is "partial small subunit ribosomal RNA". It matches the Rfam family "Bacterial small subunit ribosomal RNA", at positions 410 to 912 of the family's 1533-position model. The record is from RNAcentral. Lineage: Eukaryota; Fungi; Basidiomycota; Agaricomycetes; Boletales; Boletaceae.